This 253-nucleotide ribosomal RNA is filed under the name uncultured bacterium. RNAcentral's name for it is "partial 16S ribosomal RNA". It matches the Rfam family "Bacterial small subunit ribosomal RNA", at positions 524 to 776 of the family's 1533-position model. The record is from RNAcentral.
UACAGAGGCCUCGAGCGUUAAUCGGAGUCACUGGGCUUAAAGGGUGCGUAGGCGGACUCGUAAGUGCUUUGUGAAAUCCCACGGCUUAACCGUGGAACUGCUUGGUAGACUGCGAGUCUUGAGGUUGGUAGGGGUCGCUGGAACUCUAGGUGGAGCGGUGAAAUGCGUAGAUAUCUAGAGGAACGCCGAUGGUGAAGACAGGCGACUGGGCCAAUACUGACGCUGAGGCACGAAAGCGUGGGGAGCAAACGGG